RNAcentral lists this transfer RNA (76 nucleotides) under Bacteroidetes bacterium ADurb.Bin090. Its description in RNAcentral is "tRNA-Trp". It matches the Rfam family "tRNA". From Rfam's summary of the family: Transfer RNA (tRNA) molecules are approximately 80 nucleotides in length. Their secondary structure includes four short double-helical elements and three loops (D, anti-codon, and T loops). RNAcentral also lists the same sequence under 2 other names. The record is from RNAcentral. Lineage: Bacteria; Pseudomonadati; Bacteroidota.
ACGGGUCUAGCUCAGUUGGUAGAGCAUCGGUCUCCAAAACCGAGUGUCGGGAGUUCGAGUCUCUCGACCCGUGCCA